Molecule: ribosomal RNA, 242 nt
Filed under: uncultured Actinomycetales bacterium
Lineage: Bacteria; Bacillati; Actinomycetota; Actinomycetes; Actinomycetales
Description: partial 16S ribosomal RNA
Rfam family: Bacterial small subunit ribosomal RNA
Source: RNAcentral
UACUCGAGUGGCGAACGGGUGAGUAACACGUGGGUGAUCUGCCCUGCACUUCGGGAUAAGCUUGGGAAACUGGGUCUAAUACCGGAUAGGAGCCAUCUUUAGUGUGGUGGUUGGAAAGUUUUUUCGGUGUAGGAUGAGCUCGCGGCCUAUCAGCUUGUUGUGGGGUAACGGCCUACCAAGGCGGCGACGGGUAGCCGGCCUGAGAGGGUGUACGGCCACAUUGGGACUGAGAUACGGCCCAG